Molecule: ribosomal RNA, 842 nt
Filed under: Scolecobasidium cordanae
Lineage: Eukaryota; Fungi; Ascomycota; Dothideomycetes; Venturiales; Sympoventuriaceae
Description: eukaryotic LSU rRNA
Rfam family: Eukaryotic large subunit ribosomal RNA (bases 576-842)
Source: RNAcentral
GUUAACUGCGGAAGACAUUACCGAGUGGCCCAAGUCCGCAAGGACCGGUUACCCGACCUCUUGUCAUUUGCUCUGGGGUCGCCUGCAAGGUUCGGCCCGCACUUCCUCCAUGUGGGGUUGGGCGGGUCGCGCCGAACUGGCGGCCUCAGCUUCGAUAACUUCGGCGGAAGUGGUAGGUUCGACCUGCCCGCCGCCGGCCGUAUUCAACCUGCAAGUAAUUUUGAAGUCUGAUUUGAAUCAUAAUGAAAAGCAAAACUUUCAACAACGGAUCUCUUGGCUCUGGCAACGAUGAAGAACGCAGCGAAACGCGAAAGGUAAUGCGAAUUGCAGAAUCAGUGAGUCAUCGAAUUUUUGAACGCACAUUGCACCCCUUGGUAUUCCGGGGGGUACGCCUGUUCGAGCGCCAUCACACACCCCAAGCUCUGCUUGAUGUUGGACGAUGCCUUGGCCCUUCUGGGCCGGGGCACGUCUGGAACCCGUGGGCGCCCCCGCCGAAACCACGAGCGUAGCAAGACGCAAGUCACUCGCUUCUGUCGGUCUCGGUGGAGGGGUCUGCCUAAUCCAUUUCUGAAGAUUGGCCUCGGAUCAGGUGGGGAUACCCGCUGAACUUAAGCAUAUCAAUAAGCGGAGGAAAAGAAACCAACAGGGAUUGCCUCAGUAACGGCGAGUGAAGCGGCAACAGCUCAAAUUUGAAAUCUGGGGGCCUUCGGCUCCCGAGUUGUAAUUUGUAGAGGAUGCCUCGGGGGGUGCUUUCGGCCCAAGUUCCCUUGGAACAGGAUACCACAGAGGGUGAGAGUCCCCGUAUACUGCCGGCAGUGCUCUCCGCGCGAGGUUUUCGCGGC